AGCGAACGUUUGCGGCGGGCUUAACACAUGCAAGUCGAACGGGCUGUUCCUUCGGGGGCAGUCAGUGGCGCACGGGUGCGUAACACGUAGGUAAUCAACCCUCUGGUUGGGGAUAACACUUCGAAAGGAGUGCUAAUACCCGGUGUGGCGCAGCGGUCUUCGGAUCGCGGCGAGAAAGACCCGCAAGGGUUGCCAGAGGACGAGCCUGCGGCCCAUCAGCUAGUUGGUGAGGUAAGAGCUCACCAAGGCGAAGACGGGUAGCUGGUCUGAGAGGAUGAUCAGCCACACUGGAACUGAGACACGGUCCAGACUCCUACGGGAGGCAGCAGUGGGGAAUAUUGCGCAAUGGGCGAAAGCCUGACGCAGCCACGCCGCGUGAGCGAUGAAGGCC
RNAcentral lists this ribosomal RNA (391 nucleotides) under uncultured bacterium. RNAcentral describes it as "bacterial SSU rRNA". It matches the Rfam family "Bacterial small subunit ribosomal RNA", at positions 29 to 416 of the family's 1533-position model. The record is from RNAcentral.